This 76-nucleotide transfer RNA is filed under the name Vibrio parahaemolyticus. Its description in RNAcentral is "tRNA-Val". It matches the Rfam family "tRNA". Rfam says of the family: Transfer RNA (tRNA) molecules are approximately 80 nucleotides in length. Their secondary structure includes four short double-helical elements and three loops (D, anti-codon, and T loops). Further hydrogen bonds mediate the characteristic L-shaped molecular structure. tRNAs have two regions of fundamental functional importance: the anti-codon, which is responsible for specific mRNA codon recognition, and the 3' end, to which the tRNAs corresponding amino acid is attached (by aminoacyl-tRNA synthetases). tRNAs cope with the degeneracy of the genetic code in two manners: having more than one tRNA (with a specific anti-codon) for a particular amino acid; and 'wobble' base-pairing, i.e. permitting non-standard base-pairing at the 3rd anti-codon position. Lineage: Bacteria; Pseudomonadati; Pseudomonadota; Gammaproteobacteria; Vibrionales; Vibrionaceae. The record is from RNAcentral.
GGGCGAUUAGCUCAGCUGGGAGAGCGCCUGCCUUACAAGCAGGGGGUCACUGGUUCGAGCCCGGUAUCGCCCACCA